UGCAGUCGAACGAGAAAGGGGAGCAAUCCCUGAGUAAAGUGGCGACCGGGUGAGUAACACGUGACCAAUCUACCCUCGAGUGGGGAAUAACUCCGGGAAACCGGAGCUAAUACCGCAUAACAUCUUCGGAACGCGAGUUCUGUUGAUCAAAGGAGCAAUUCGCUUGAGGAGGAGGUCGCGGCUGAUUAGCUAGUUGGCGGGGUAAUGGCCCACCAAGGCUGAGAUCGGUAUCCGGCCUGAGAGGGCGCACGGACACACUGGAACUGAAACACGGUCCAGACUCCUACGGGAGGCAGCAGUGGGGAAUUUUGCGCAAUGGGGGAAACCCUGACGCAGCAACGCCGCGUGGAGGAUGAAGUCCCUUGGGAUGUAAACCCCUUUCGACCGGGAAGAUACUGACGGUACCGGUGGAAGAAGCACCGGCUAACUCUGUGCCAGCAGCCGCGGUAAUACAGAGGGUGCGAGCGUUGUUCGGAAUUAUUGGGCGUAAAGGGCGCGUAGGCGGUCGGGUAAGUCACCUGUGAAAUCUCCUGGCUCAACUGGGAGCUUGCAGGCGAAACUGCCUGGCUGGAGUGUGGGAGAGGUGCGUGGAAUUCCUGGUGUAGCGGUGAAAUGCGUAGAUAUCAGGAGGAACACCUGUGGCGAAAGCGGCGCACUGGACCACAACUGACGCUGAGGCGCGAAAGCUAGGGGAGCAAACAGGAUUAGAUACCCUGGUAGUCCUAGCCCUAAACUAUGGAUGCUUGGUGUGAUCGGUACCCAAUCCGAUCGUGCCGCAGCUAACGCGUUAAGCAUCCCGCCUGGGGAGUACGGUCGCAAGGCUG
Molecule: ribosomal RNA, 824 nt
Filed under: uncultured bacterium
Lineage: Bacteria
Description: bacterial SSU rRNA
Rfam family: Bacterial small subunit ribosomal RNA
Source: RNAcentral